AGCUGUGUAACCUGGAGCAGGGUCCUGUGAGAACAGCUGGGAAAGGCUUGUCUGUGCUUCACCCACACACCUCCUGCUCUUUGGCUCCUGAGCUGCAGUUAAGCUCAGGAUUAGGCCUUAGUUUGCUUCUAGGCUCUGCUUUAGGUAUACCUGGCUUGCUCAAGGUGAUAUCCUGGCUAGACUCAUCUGCACCUGGUCAGUAUAGACUAGUCUAGUAAGGGAAAAAAUGGUGCUGUUAUCCUUAAUAUUCAUUUCACAAUCCCAAAAUAAGUAUUCCUUUGGAGGCCUUUUCUUUUAGGGGCCAUUGUUGGACAUAGUCAGUACCAGAUGUUUUAUGCAACUUUUGCUUGUCACCCUCCUGAAAGAAUCCUUUUGGCAUUGUUUUCCACUUCCUCGAGGCAGCCUUCUUGAAAUUCUGUCAGCACACUUCUUUUGGUCAAUAAGGUAAGCAGCUGCACUGGGUCUUGGUGUGCAGCGGAUCUAGUGCCCAAUACCAGUGCUCUGACACCUUUGUAUAGGAUCAGGCCCUGGAUGUUUUGGAUUUUG
Passer domesticus (house sparrow) is the source of this 546-nucleotide long non-coding RNA. RefSeq lists it as uncharacterized. Lineage: Eukaryota; Metazoa; Chordata; Aves; Passeriformes; Passeridae. The record is from RefSeq and is a predicted model, not a curated record. The transcript is spliced from 3 exons.